AAUCAACGCUGGCGGCGUGCCUCAGACAUGCAAGUCGAACGCGAAAGCCCCCGUCGGGGGACAAGUAGAGUGGCGCACGGGUGAGUAACACGUAGGUAAUCUACCUUCGGGUGGGGAAUAACAAUCGGAAACGGUUGCUAAUACCGCAUAAUGCAGCGGCACCUAAUGGUGACAGUUGUUAAAGCGGGGGAUCGCAAGAUCUCGCGCCUGAAGAGGAGCCUGCGGCGGAUUAGCAGUUGGUAGGGUAAUGGCCUACCAAGGCGACGAUCCGUAGCCGGCCUGAGAGGGCGGUCGGCCACACUGACACUGACAUACGGGUCAGACUCCUACGGGAGGCAGCAGUCGGGAAUUUUGGGCAAUGGGCGAAAGCCUGA
This 374-nucleotide ribosomal RNA is filed under the name uncultured bacterium. Its description in RNAcentral is "bacterial SSU rRNA". It matches the Rfam family "Bacterial small subunit ribosomal RNA", at positions 32 to 386 of the family's 1533-position model. The record is from RNAcentral.